RNAcentral lists this unclassified non-coding RNA (320 nucleotides) under plant metagenome. RNAcentral describes it as "partial contains 5.8S ribosomal RNA, internal transcribed spacer 2, and large subunit ribosomal RNA". The stretch from base 1 to 105 matches the Rfam family "5.8S ribosomal RNA", at positions 50 to 154 of the family's 154-position model. The record is from RNAcentral.
GAAAUGCGAUAAGUAAUGUGAAUUGCAGAAUUCAGUGAAUCAUCGAAUCUUUGAACGCACAUUGCGCCCGCCAGUAUUCUGGCGGGCAUGCCUGUUCGAGCAUCAUUACAACCCUCAGGCCCCCGGGCCUGGCGUUGGGGAUCGGCGGAAGCCCCCUGCGGGCACAACGCCGUCCCCCAAAUACAGUGGCGGUCCCGCCGCAGCUUCCAUUGCGUAGUAGCUAACACCUCGCAACUGGAGAGCGGCGCGGCCACGCCGUAAAACACCCAACUUCUGAAUGUUGACCUCGAAUCAGGUAGGAAUACCCGCUGAACUUAAGC